Sus scrofa (pig) is the source of this 1239-nucleotide long non-coding RNA. RefSeq lists it as uncharacterized. The record is from RefSeq and is a predicted model, not a curated record. Lineage: Eukaryota; Metazoa; Chordata; Mammalia; Artiodactyla; Suidae.
UACACCAUAACGGCAGCGCUGGAUCCUUAACCCACUGAGUGGGGCCAAGGGUUGAACCCAAAUCCUCAUGAGUAUUAGUCGGGCUCAUUACUACUGAGCCACAAUGGGAAUUCCUGGAGAUGGUGGAUAGUGUUAAAGGGAGAAUUGGUAUGUACUAGGCACACAAAAGUUGGGACGCUAUUGAAGGCAAUAGAGAAAGUACAGAUGUACAAAAUACUGGCUUAGGGUUGUGGAGUAUUAGAGGAAUUACAAGUUCCAGCAUUUAGUACGUUACUGGCACACAGGAAGUGGUAAGCACUCAACAAAUGUUGAAUGAAUGAGUGAAAAUAGCUUAGCGGGACUGUCUCUGAGGCAUAAUCCAAAGGGAACACCAGAAUCUGAAAGUCACCCAGACAUUGAGAUCAACCCUUGGAGAGCAAGCCCUCGCUCUAAGAAAUCACUGUGAGUCCUGAAGGCUGUGUUGAACUUAGGGUAAUCAUUGCAACAAUCAAGCUUAACCUGGUCCAAAUCUUGUAUUAGUGGAAACCUAUGUUAAAGGCUUAACAGAGGAAUGACUUGACCAUUUCCAGGAAUUAAAUCUAUUUACCUGUUUGUACUGUGCUAUACAAGCUGCCUUAGUUUUUGCCCUCCCCCCCAAAAAAUUUUUUUUUCACAAGAAAGCAAGAAAAAUCUUCCCCCACCAAGAGACAAAGCAGUGCAGAACUAGAUUCAGACUAUCUGACACAAUCUUAAAUAACUGACUACUUUAAAAGGUCAUAUGAAAAAAGUGCACAGCAGGCAAAUCAGACGGGUCAUUUGAUCAGAGAGAGAACUGUAAGAAUCAAAUGGAGACACUAGAAAUGAAGAACUCCGUAAACGGAAAAUACCUUCAACAGCCUCACAGAUACACCUGACACAGCCACGGAAAGACGACGUGAACCUGAAGAGAAAUGAAGACUUUCUCAGGGAAAAGAAAAACUGAGAAGAUACAUUGCCAGGAGACCCCGCAUUAAAAGAAAUACUUUAACAGAAGGGAUGUGAAAAACAACAUAUCCCUGGAUGUGUACAGAGGGACAGAUCUGGAAAUGGAAUAAAUGAAGUUUCAUUACUCUCAAAGGUGAAUAAAAAGAUAUUGCUGAACAUGGAUGGACCUAGAAAUUAUGACGCUAAGUGAAAUCAAUCAGACAGUGAGACACCAACAUCAAAUGCUAUCACUUAUAUGUGGAAUCGGAAAAAAGGACACGAUGACCUUCUUUGCAG